GAUGAACGCUGGCGGCGUGCCUAAUACAUGCCAGUCGAGCGAACAGACGAGGAGCUUGCUCCUCUGACGUUAGCGGCGGACGGGUGAGUAACACGUGGAUAACCUACCUAUAAGACUGGGAUAACUUCGGGAAACCGGAGCUAAUACCGGAUAAUAUAUUGAACCGCAUGGUUCAAUAGUGAAAGACGGUUUUGCUGUCACUUAUAGAUGGAUCCGCGCCGCGUUAGCUAGUUGGUAAGGUAACGGCUUACAAAGGCAACGAUGCGUAGCCGACCUGAGAGAGUGAUCGGCCCCACUGGGACUGAGACACGGUCCAGACUCCUACGGGAGGCAGCAGUAGGGAAUCUUCCGCAGUGGGCGAAAGCCUGACGGAGCAACGCCGCGUGAGUGAUAGAGGUCUUCGGAUCGUAAAGCUCUGUUAUUAGGGAAGAACAAAUGUGUAAGUAACUAUGCACGUCUUGACGGUACCUAAUCAGAAAGCCACGGCUAACUACGUG
This 497-nucleotide ribosomal RNA is filed under the name uncultured bacterium. RNAcentral describes it as "partial 16S ribosomal RNA". It matches the Rfam family "Bacterial small subunit ribosomal RNA", at positions 28 to 507 of the family's 1533-position model. The record is from RNAcentral.